CAUAAAAUGAGGCCAUCAUGGAACUAAAAGCUUUGUAACGUGGCAAGAGGACAAAGUAACAAUCCUAAUAUUUCUAGGGAUAACAGAGAGAUCUCUGAUAGUAAUUCCUACAAAGAGAGACCGAAGAUCAAAUGUUUUUCUAGACAGUUAUGAAUUGGGGGCAUUGAUGAGACAGUAGUAAAAAAGACAUAGAAUCAGCCGUGAGAUGAGGUUUAAAGAACCAAAACAGAAGAGAAACUUUUCACUUACACAAUCAACCCAUAUGGCAAUGUUGAUGUGUAACGUUAAAUGGAAUAACCAAUGAUAAUCAGAGCAAUCAUCAGAAAAAUACCUCUUUCCUAGCAGUUACAGUCUGAGUCAUUAUUGGAUAAAAAGGAGAAGGAAGAG
RNAcentral lists this long non-coding RNA (387 nucleotides) under Lupinus angustifolius (narrow-leaved blue lupine). Its description in RNAcentral is "long non-coding RNA (LANG_LNC003426)". Lineage: Eukaryota; Viridiplantae; Streptophyta; Magnoliopsida; Fabales; Fabaceae. The record is from RNAcentral.